GCUGGGAGCAGUGGUGUGUGCCUGUAGUCCCAGUUACUCGGGAGGCUGAGACAAGAGGAUUGCUUGAGCCCAGGAGGUCGAGGCUGCAGUGAGCUGUGAUGGCAGCACUGCACUCAGCCUGGGCAACAGAGUGAGACCUUGUAUCAA
Unclassified non-coding RNA from Macaca mulatta (Rhesus monkey), 147 nucleotides. It matches the Rfam family "Metazoan signal recognition particle RNA". Rfam says of the family: The signal recognition particle (SRP) is a universally conserved ribonucleoprotein. It is involved in the co-translational targeting of proteins to membranes. The record is from Ensembl. Lineage: Eukaryota; Metazoa; Chordata; Mammalia; Primates; Cercopithecidae.